Molecule: long non-coding RNA, 823 nt
Organism: Bolinopsis microptera
Lineage: Eukaryota; Metazoa; Ctenophora; Tentaculata; Lobata; Bolinopsidae
Exons: 3
Source: RefSeq, a predicted model, not a curated record
AUUUGCAGAAUGGGAAAAGAGGAAGGAAUGGCUAGUGAGGCUCCCCCCUCGUACGUUGACUCCACUCAACCCGCAGCAGCGCCUCCCUAUCAAUAUCCACCACAAGCAAGCUAUCCGCCACAAGCAAGCUAUCCACCACAAGCAAGCUAUCCGCCACAAGCAAGCUAUCCACCACAAGGAAGCUAUCCGCCACAAGCAAGCUAUCCGCCACAAGGAAGCUAUCCACCACAAGGAAGCUAUCCGCCACAAGGGAGCUAUCCUCCAACUGGUUACCCACCUGUACAAGCUGAUUAUACACCACCCACUAGCAACCAUCCUCAACAAUAUCAACCAUAUCAAGGUGUACAAAUGGUGACUGCAUCUCCUUGUAACGCUUGCAAUAUGCAGAAUUUUGGAGGGGGAAACCCGAUACAAGGCUGUCUGCUAAGCUCGAAUGGAAGAAAAUGUCAGUUUAUUUACGUAAUAGCGGCAGUGGUUGUUGUAAUGGUACUCAUCUCUACUAUUGACGGAGGUAAUGCCUUCCCCCAGGCAGCUCUCAUUCCUUUUAUAAUCUUCACAAUUGUAGUAAACUUGAUGUUUUACAUUCCCGUCACCAUUCAAAGAUCUAGAAACCCCCACAGUUGCGACAGAAAGAACGAGUCACUUUGGUGUUAAGGGGGCUGGGGGGGGGGGGGGGUCUUCUUAAGGACACAUUUUUAGAACAUUUACAUACAAUUUAAAUUUAGAACAUCUUACAGGGUUGCUAAAAGGCUAAAAGCAUGAAUAUAUCAAAAUUAAAUGUUCGUUAAGCUCGGUGAGAGCUAUUUUUAUCCACAUAUUGAAA